UCUAUAACGCCGAUGUGGCAGUUCGUCAGGUAUGGUGAGAAUGUACUAGAAGCCAAGAGGAAUCCUAAUUGGACAAGUCUAGUUUGCCGUGGCAUUUGAAAUUGCAGUAUUUGCAGAGCUAAGAGGGGAUGGUUCUGUACAGGCAUUGCAUAUAGGAAGUUGAUUGUUUCUAGUGGUAGUGUAGUCUUAUUGUUCAUGUGUGAAAGAUGUAUGUGUGAAACUUGGAAAGGAAUAAAAGAUACCAUGCUUCAUUUGCUGGUGCGUAUAUAUAUAUGUUUCAUUUGCAGAUACUACUAAUUUUGAGUGCAUUGUACAACACACCAUCUAUUAAACAGAGCAACAAAAAGAUGGAAAGACCGUCAAUAUUAUUUUGAGUGGACUUUGUGAAACAUAGCAACAAAGCAAAGCAGGCACAUCUUAAUUGUUCUUCACAAAUAAAAACUAGACAAUAUAGUGCAUUGUAGAACACAACAUAUGUCAAACCAAAAGAAGUAAAGGCUAACAAUAUUAUAUGUUCAUUACAAGACAAAGAGAAAAUUAAGCGAAGACACUAGUACAAACAGCUCACUCAGGUGCAUUUUGAGUGACUUGUAUGACUUCCGCAUCAUCUCCAGCUACCAUUUCAUUAAGAUCCGGCAACUCAGUUUGCCUCUGGUCAGCACCAAACAACAUGUGAUAUGUUGAUCCAGGUCCUGUGCGGUUUUGAUGCUGUUGGAGCAGUGCUUGGUCCAGCUUCAUUUGACUUUUUUUUACUGCCAUUUCUUCUUCCUACACCUCUGCCUGCUCCUACACUGGUAUCUCUUCCCCUUCCUCUUCCACUUAAUCCUCCUCUGGUUUGGGUAGU
Long non-coding RNA from Lolium rigidum, 844 nucleotides. RefSeq lists it as uncharacterized. Lineage: Eukaryota; Viridiplantae; Streptophyta; Magnoliopsida; Poales; Poaceae. The record is from RefSeq and is a predicted model, not a curated record. The transcript is spliced from 3 exons.